CACGAACGCUGGCGGCAGGCCUAACACAUGCAAGUCGAGCGAGGACUUCGGUCCUAGCGGCGGACGGGUGAGUAACGCGUGGGAACGUGCCCUUUGCUUCGGAAUAGCCCUGGGAAACUGGGAGUAAUACCGGAUGAGCCCUUUGGGGGAAAGAUUUAUCGGCGAAGGAUCGGCCCGCGUUGGAUUAGGUAGUUGGUGGGGUAAUGGCCUACCAAGCCGACGAUCCAUAGCUGGUUUGAGAGGAUGAUCAGCCACACUGGGACUGAGACACGGCCCAGACUCCUACGGGAGGCAGCAGUGGGGAAUCUUAGACAAUGGGGGAAACCCUGAUCGAGCCAUGCCGCGUGAGCGAUGAAGGCCUUAGGGUUGUAAAGCUCUUUCAGCUGGGAAGAUAAUGACGGUACCAGCAGAAGAAGCCCCGGCUAACUCCGUG
RNAcentral lists this ribosomal RNA (433 nucleotides) under uncultured bacterium. Its description in RNAcentral is "partial 16S ribosomal RNA". It matches the Rfam family "Bacterial small subunit ribosomal RNA", at positions 29 to 507 of the family's 1533-position model. The record is from RNAcentral.